GGAGAGGUACCGAAGUGGUCAUAACGGGGCCGACUCGAAAUCGGUUUGGGGGGUAACACUCCCACGUGGGUUCGAAUCCCACCCUCUCCGCCA
This 93-nucleotide transfer RNA is filed under the name Candidatus Zymogenaceae bacterium. RNAcentral's name for it is "tRNA-Ser". It matches the Rfam family "tRNA". Rfam says of the family: Transfer RNA (tRNA) molecules are approximately 80 nucleotides in length. Their secondary structure includes four short double-helical elements and three loops (D, anti-codon, and T loops). Further hydrogen bonds mediate the characteristic L-shaped molecular structure. tRNAs have two regions of fundamental functional importance: the anti-codon, which is responsible for specific mRNA codon recognition, and the 3' end, to which the tRNAs corresponding amino acid is attached (by aminoacyl-tRNA synthetases). tRNAs cope with the degeneracy of the genetic code in two manners: having more than one tRNA (with a specific anti-codon) for a particular amino acid; and 'wobble' base-pairing, i.e. permitting non-standard base-pairing at the 3rd anti-codon position. Lineage: Bacteria; Deltaproteobacteria; Candidatus Zymogeniales; Candidatus Zymogenaceae. The record is from RNAcentral.